CAAAAGUGCAUGAUGAUUAUAAAUCAACAACAUUCAUUAUUUCUAGAAAGCAUUUUCUAUACUAUCCAUGAUGGACAUAUGAAGGCCUUGAUCCUAGUAUUUGUAUAUUUACUUCUUGCAUGUCUUUGGAUGAAUAGACACCAGUUAUAGAUGAAAUACACAAAACACCGUAUUUUUCUUGUCACCCACAUCAACUGAAAAUAUCUCACAUUGUACAAGUUAUGAUGUCUUAUAAAUCCUUUCCACAGAUGUUCAAACUCAAUCUUAGUUUGUGAAUUUGUGAUAAUAUCAUAAAAAUUUA
Molecule: long non-coding RNA, 301 nt
Filed under: Oryza brachyantha (malo sina)
Lineage: Eukaryota; Viridiplantae; Streptophyta; Magnoliopsida; Poales; Poaceae
Description: long non-coding RNA (OBRA_LNC001368)
Source: RNAcentral